CACGUAGUUAGCCGUGGCUUAUUCAUUCGGUACCGUCAUUUGUUUCGUCCCGAAUAAAAGAAGUUUACAACCCGAGGGCCUUCUUCCUUCACGCGGCGUUGCUGGGUCAGGCUUGCGCCCAUUGCCCAAUAUUCCCCACUGCUGCCUCCCGUAGGAGUCUGGGCCGUGUCUCAGUCCCAAUGUGGCCGGCCAACCUCUCAGUCCGGCUACUGAUCGUCGACUUGGUGGGCCGUUACCCCGCCAACUAUCUAAUCAGACGCGAGGCCAUCUUAGAGCGAUAAAUCUUUGGCAACCAAAGCCAUGCGACUUAGUUGCAUUAUGCGGUAUUAGCAGCUAUUUCUAACUGUUAUUCCCCACUCCAAGGCAGGUUCCUCACGCGUUACUCACCCGUCCGCCACUAGGUAUUCCUAUCAAUUGGCCGAAGCCUCUGUCAAGGGUACCCCGUUCGACUUGCAUGUGUUAAGCACGCCGCCAGCGUUCAUCCUGAGCCAGGAUCAAACUCU
Molecule: ribosomal RNA, 503 nt
Filed under: uncultured Oscillospiraceae bacterium
Lineage: Bacteria; Bacillati; Bacillota; Clostridia; Eubacteriales; Oscillospiraceae
Description: partial 16S ribosomal RNA
Source: RNAcentral